GAUGAAAACGUAGCGAAACGCGAUAAGUAAUGCGAAUUGCAGAAUUUCCGUGAGUCAUCGAAUCUUUGAACGCACAUUGCGCCCACUGGUAUUCCGGUGGGCAUGCCUGUUCGAGCGUCAUUAUCCUCCCUCAAACCCCGGGUUUGGUGUUGGACCCAAGUUGUGUGAACAACUGGUCUUAAAGACAAUGACGGCGUCCGUGGGACCCUCGGUGCAACGAGCUUUUAGGAGCACGCAUCGAGUUGCAAGGACCUUCCGGGCCGGUCUCCUUUACUAUUUUACAAGGUUGACCUCGGAUCAGGUAGGAAUACCCGCUGAACUUAAGCAUAUCAAUAAGCGGAGGA
This 344-nucleotide unclassified non-coding RNA is filed under the name soil metagenome. Its description in RNAcentral is "partial contains 5.8S ribosomal RNA, internal transcribed spacer 2, and large subunit ribosomal RNA". The stretch from base 1 to 120 matches the Rfam family "5.8S ribosomal RNA", at positions 35 to 154 of the family's 154-position model. The record is from RNAcentral.